AAAAUAGAUACCCCGUGGUAGUCCACGCCGUAAACGAGUGAGUGCUAAGUGUUGGGGGGUUUCCGCCCCUCAGUGCUGCAGCUAACGCAUUAAGCACUCCGCCUGGGGAGUACGGCCGCAAGGCUGAAACUCAAAGGAAUUGACGGGGGCCCGCACAAGCGGUGGAGCAUGUGGUUUAAUUCGAAGCAACGCGAAGAACCUUACCAGGUCUUGACAUCCCGCUGCCCGGUAUAGAGAUAUAUCUUUCCCUUCGGGGACAGCGGUGACAGGUGGUGCAUGGUUGUCGUCAGCUCGUGUCGUGAGAUGUUGGGUUAAGUCCCGCAACGAGCGCAACCCUUGAUCUUAGUUGCCAGCAUUUAGUUGGGCACUCUAAGGUGACUGCCGGUGACAAACCGGAGGAAGGUGGGGAUGACGUCAAAUCAUCAUGCCCCUUAUGACCUGGGCUACACACGUGCUACAAUGGAUGGUACAAAGGGCUGCAAGACCGCGAGGUUUAGCCAAUCCCAUAAAACCAUUCUCAGUUCGGAUUGCAGG
Molecule: ribosomal RNA, 534 nt
Filed under: uncultured bacterium
Lineage: Bacteria
Description: bacterial SSU rRNA
Rfam family: Bacterial small subunit ribosomal RNA
Source: RNAcentral